Beta vulgaris subsp. vulgaris (sugar beet) is the source of this 963-nucleotide long non-coding RNA. RefSeq lists it as uncharacterized. The transcript has 3 exons. Lineage: Eukaryota; Viridiplantae; Streptophyta; Magnoliopsida; Caryophyllales; Amaranthaceae. The record is from RefSeq and is a predicted model, not a curated record.
AAAGAAAGAAAAAGAAAAAGAAAAAGAAGAAAUUGAAAAACAUAAAAACGUGAGUUUUCCUUCUCCAUAGCUCCAUCUCAGUUUUCUCUUCACAAAAACCCACCCAUGGAUUUCUAAAUAAAAAAUGGGUUAUUGAACACAAACAAACUUAUUUGCAAAUAAAAUUCAUUAAUCAAACCAAAUCACUCAAUCACCCAUUCAAAAAUCAAAAUGAGUUUCUUGCACACAAUCAAACUCAUCUUCAAAUAUAUAUUCAUACUCAACCCAAAUCACCCAACAACCCAUUUUUGGUAAUUCAAUUCCAUCAAUUCAUUUGGGCAGAAAUUGAAACUCAACCAUGGCUAUAAAUAGCCAUGUUCAUCUCCUCAAACCAUUCACUCAAACCAUUUGAGUUUUCGUCGGAAAACCGCCACCCAAACCACCCUCAAAUUCAUCUGUUUUUUCGCAAUUCUCUCUUUCUCUCUCUUUUGUUUUCGCUCAACCACUGCAGCACCACCACCCACCGCCACCGUCGCAAUAACCACUACCCCCUGAUUCUGCGCGAAACAAGAACCACCCACCGCGGCGCCAACCCAGCCGUAUUUCUUCUCUCUCUCGCUCAGCUCCUCUCUUCCUCGCCCAAUUCGUUCUCUCUCUCCUCUGUUUUGUCUGCUGCUCGCACCGUCGAGCCACCACCGCAUCCGCACCUCUCGUCGUGCUGUCACUUUUCUGCCUCGCCUCGCCUUCAGUCGCCGGAGCUUCGUUGUUCCUCCACUGCUCUCUGGUUCGACGUGAUGUCGUGAUUGAAGCAGAGAUUAAAAAGGAAGAGAUAUUACAAGCGUUCCCCUACGAUCAAGGUUGUUAAGCAGGAUUCCAGGUAUGCAUACGAAGAUGGGAUGACGUAGCAGUGAGGAUUAAAUUACUUUAAUGCGACUAUGACGGUUAUGAAAUCCAAGUUUAUGAUCACUAGAUUACGUAGCAUCA